This 515-nucleotide ribosomal RNA is filed under the name uncultured bacterium. RNAcentral describes it as "partial 16S ribosomal RNA". It matches the Rfam family "Bacterial small subunit ribosomal RNA", at positions 28 to 523 of the family's 1533-position model. The record is from RNAcentral.
GAUGAACGCUGGCGGCGUGCCUAAUACAUGCAAGUCGAGCGAAUGGAUUAAGAGCUUGCUCUUAUGAAGUUAGCGGCGGACGGGUGAGUAACACGUGGGUAACCUGCCCAUAAGACUAGGAUAACUCCGGGAAACCGGGGCUAAUACCGGAUACCAUUUUGAACCGCAUGGUUCGAAAUUGAAAGGCGGCUUCGGCUGUAAAUUAUGGAUGGACCCGCGUCGCAUUAGCUAGUUGGUGAGGUAACGGCUCACCAAGGCAACGAUGCGUAGCCGACCUGAGAGGGUGAUCGGCCACACUGGGACUGAGACACGGCCCAGACUCCUACGGGAGGAAGCAGUAGGGAAUCUUCCGCAAUGGACGAAAGUCUGACGGAGCAACGCCGCGUGAGUGAUGAAGGCUUUCGGGUGGUAAAACUCUGUUGUUAGGGAAGAACAAGUGCUAGUUGAAUAAGCUGGCACCUUGACGGUACCUAACCAGAAAGCCACGGCUAACUACGUGCCAGCAGCCGCCGUAA